RNAcentral lists this ribosomal RNA (274 nucleotides) under uncultured bacterium. RNAcentral's name for it is "partial 16S ribosomal RNA". It matches the Rfam family "Bacterial small subunit ribosomal RNA", at positions 523 to 796 of the family's 1533-position model. The record is from RNAcentral.
AUACGGAGGGUGCAAGCGUUAAUCGGAAUUACUGGGCGUAAAGCGUACGUAGGCGGUUAUUUAAGUCAGAUGUGAAAGCCCCGGGCUUAACUUGGGAACUGCAUUUGAAACUGGGUAACUAGAGUUUAGUAGAGGGGAGUGGAAUUUCAGGUGUAGCGGUGAAAUGCGUAGAGAUCUGAGGGAACACCAGUGGCGAAGGCGACUCCCUGGACUAAAACUGACGCUGAGGUACGAAAGCGUGGGUAGCAAACAGGAUUAGAUACCCCGGUAGUCC